Molecule: small RNA, 1195 nt
Filed under: Pan troglodytes (chimpanzee)
Lineage: Eukaryota; Metazoa; Chordata; Mammalia; Primates; Hominidae
Description: retained intron
Source: RNAcentral
AGAACCCGUGGCUGAUGUCACCAGAUAAUAAUGCCUAGCGCCAUUCGUGCCAAGCUUCUGGGGUUGAACCAUUCAAGCAGAGAAAGAGAGCGUUCUGUUCAUGUGGAGUCGCACAGCUCAGCCUGUCCCUGACAUGUCUUUGUGCUUUGUAGGCGGGGGCACGAACAGCAUCACCGUGAGGAAUGCCACAUUCACCUGGGCCAGGAGCGACCCUCCCACACUGAAUGGCAUCACCUUCUCCAUCCCCGAAGGUGCUUUGGUGGCCGUGGUGGGCCAGGUGGGCUGCGGAAAGUCGUCCCUGCUCUCAGCCCUCUUGGCUGAGAUGGACAAAGUGGAGGGGCACGUGGCUAUCAAGGGCUCCGUGGCCUAUGUGCCACAGCAGGCCUGGAUUCAGAAUGAUUCUCUCCGAGAAAACAUCCUUUUUGGAUGUCAGCUGGAGGAACCAUAUUACAGGUCCGUGAUACAGGCCUGUGCCCUCCUCCCAGACCUGGAAAUCCUGCCCAGCGGGGAUCGGACAGAGAUUGGCGAGAAGGGCGUGAACCUGUCUGGGGGCCAGAAGCAGCGCGUGAGCCUGGCCCGGGCUGUGUACUCCAACGCUGACAUUUACCUCUUCGAUGAUCCCCUCUCAGCAGUGGAUGCCCAUGUGGGAAAACACAUCUUUGAAAAUGUGAUUGGCCCCAAGGGGAUGCUGAAGAACAAGACGCGGAUCUUGGUCACGCACGGCAUGAGCUACUUGCCGCAGGUGGACGUCAUCAUCGUCAUGAGUGGCGGCAAGAUCUCUGAGAUGGGCUCCUACCAGGAGCUGCUGGCCCGAGACGGCGCCUUCGCUGAGUUCCUGCGUACCUAUGCCAGCACAGAGCAGGAGCAGGACGCAGAGAACGGGGUCACAGGCGUCAGCGGUCCAGGGAAGGAAGCAAAGCAAAUGGAGAAUGGCAUGCUGGUGACGGACAGUGCAGGGAAGCAACUGCAGAGACAGCUCAGCAGCUCCUCCUCCUAUAGCGGGGACAUCAGCAGGCACCACAACAGCACCGCAGAACUGCAGAAAGCUGAGGCCAAGAAGGAGGAGACCUGGAAGCUGAUGGAGGCUGACAAGGCGCAGACAGGGCAGGUCAAGCUUUCCGUGUACUGGGACUACAUGAAGGCCAUCGGACUCUUCAUCUCCUUUCUCAGCAUCUUCCUUUUCAUGUGUAACCAU